GACGAACGCUGGCGGCGUGCCUAAUACAUGCAAGUAGAACGCACAGUUUAUACCGUAGCUUGCUCCACCAUAGACUGUGAGUUGCGAACGGGUGAGUAACGCGUAGGUAACCUGCCUGGUAGCGGGGGAUAACUAUUGGAAACGAUAGCUAAUACCGCAUAAUAUUAAUUAUUGCAUGAUAAUUAAUUGAACGGUGCAAUUGCACCACUACCAGAUGGACCUGCGUUGUAUUAGCUAGUAGGUGAGGUAACGGCUCACCUAGGCGACGAUACAUAGCCGACCUGAGAGGGUGAUCGGCCACACUGGGACUGAGACACGGCCCAGACUCCUACGGGAGGCAGCAGUAGGGAAUCUUCGGCAAUGGACGAAAGUCUGACCGAGCAACGCCGCGUGAGUGAAGAAGGGUUUCGGAUCGUAAAGCUCUGUUGUAAGAGAAGAACGGGUGUGAGAGUGGAAAGUUCACACUGUGACGGUAUCUUACCAGAAAGGGACGGCUAACUACGUG
This 505-nucleotide ribosomal RNA is filed under the name uncultured bacterium. RNAcentral describes it as "partial 16S ribosomal RNA". It matches the Rfam family "Bacterial small subunit ribosomal RNA", at positions 28 to 507 of the family's 1533-position model. The record is from RNAcentral.